UAGGGUAUAGUUCUGGUUUUUUAGAUACCAAAAUUUUGAACCCAUUCGGAUACCUAACCACUUUUGGUUAAAGUUCAGUACUAUUUUUUGGAUCAGUUUUGUUCUUUUUUUUUUAAUUUGGAUUUUUUUCUCAACCCUAUAUUUUUAUUGUGAUAAAAUUUUAAACAAAAAUGUUGAUGGUUCAUAUUGAUUUUGGGUAUGCAAUAAUUUUUUUAACCAAAACACAUUUUACAAUGUACGUAUCCAUUUAGUUAAUCAUUAAAAACCUUUUUAGGUUUAUUUAAGGAAAACAAUGGAGUGAACUUUAUAAAGUUACCAUUUCAGAUUGUCAAUCGACAAUUCUAAAUAUUCUAUGUUGGUGUUGUGACGGUGAUAUCUAUUAAUGUGAUCGAUACAAGUAAGAUUUAUUUAUAAGCUAUUAUUAUCAAAUCUUUAUUAUUCAUAAUCAUUAAUUGUCAUAUAUAUGUUAAUCAUAUUAGGUAACACCGUAGCUUUUACAGUUUUACUUAAGGAAAAAAUACACACUUCUUAUAUUUUGGGUUAAUAUAAUGUUUCUUAACAAUUGAAUUUUAGACCUACAAAUUAU
Molecule: long non-coding RNA, 586 nt
Filed under: Brassica napus (rape)
Lineage: Eukaryota; Viridiplantae; Streptophyta; Magnoliopsida; Brassicales; Brassicaceae
Description: long non-coding RNA (BNAP_LNC004108)
Source: RNAcentral